Molecule: ribosomal RNA, 1207 nt
Filed under: Escherichia coli
Lineage: Bacteria; Pseudomonadati; Pseudomonadota; Gammaproteobacteria; Enterobacterales; Enterobacteriaceae
Description: partial 23S ribosomal RNA
Rfam family: Bacterial large subunit ribosomal RNA
Source: RNAcentral
GGAAAGGCGCGCGAUACAGGGUGACAGCCCCGUACACAAAAAUGCACAUGCUGUGAGCUCGAUGAGUAGGGCGGGACACGUGGUAUCCUGUCUGAAUAUGGGGGGACCAUCCUCCAAGGCUAAAUACUCCUGACUGACCGAUAGUGAACCAGUACCGUGAGGGAAAGGCGAAAAGAACCCCGGCGAGGGGAGUGAAAAAGAACCUGAAACCGUGUACGUACAAGCAGUGGGAGCACGCUUAGGCGUGUGACUGCGUACCUUUUGUAUAAUGGGUCAGCGACUUAUAUUCUGUAGCAAGGUUAACCGAAUAGGGGAGCCGAAGGGAAACCGAGUCUUAACUGGGCGUUAAGUUGCAGGGUAUAGACCCGAAACCCGGUGAUCUAGCCAUGGGCAGGUUGAAGGUUGGGUAACACUAACUGGAGGACCGAACCGACUAAUGUUGAAAAAUUAGCGGAUGACUUGUGGCUGGGGGUGAAAGGCCAAUCAAACCGGGAGAUAGCUGGUUCUCCCCGAAAGCUAUUUAGGUAGCGCCUCGUGAAUUCAUCUCCGGGGGUAGAGCACUGUUUCGGCAAGGGGGUCAUCCCGACUUACCAACCCGAUGCAAACUGCGAAUACCGGAGAAUGUUAUCACGGGAGACACACGGCGGGUGCUAACGUCCGUCGUGAAGAGGGAAACAACCCAGACCGCCAGCUAAGGUCCCAAAGUCAUGGUUAAGUGGGAAACGAUGUGGGAAGGCCCAGACAGCCAGGAUGUUGGCUUAGAAGCAGCCAUCAUUUAAAGAAAGCGUAAUAGCUCACUGGUCGAGUCGGCCUGCGCGGAAGAUGUAACGGGGCUAAACCAUGCACCGAAGCUGCGGCAGCGACGCUGAUGCGUUGUUGGGUAGGGGAGCGUUCUGUAAGCCUGCGAAGGUGUGCUGUGAGGCAUGCUGGAGGUAUCAGAAGUGCGAAUGCUGACAUAAGUAACGAUAAAGCGGGUGAAAAGCCCGCUCGCCGGAAGACCAAGGGUUCCUGUCCAACGUUAAUCGGGGCAGGGUGAGUCGACCCCUAAGGCGAGGCCGAAAGGCGUAGUCGAUGGGAAACAGGUUAAUAUUCCUGUACUUGGUGUUACUGCGAAGGGGGGACGGAGAAGGCUAUGUUGGCCGGGCGACGGUUGUCCCGGUUUAAGCGUGUAGGCUGGUUUUCCAGGCAAAUCCGGAAAAUCAAGGCU